AUUGAGCGCUGGCGGCAUGCUUUACACAUGCAAGUCGAACGGUAACAGCACUUCGGUGGCUGACGAGUGGCGAACGGGUGAGUAAUACAUCGGAACGUGCCUAGUAGUGGGGGAUAACUACUCGAAAGAGUAGCUAAUACCGCAUGAGAUCUAAGGAUGAAAGCAGGGGACCUUCGGGCCUUGCGCUACUAGAGCGGCUGAUGGCAGAUUAGGUAGUUGGUGGGAUAAAAGCUUACCAAGCCGACGAUCUGUAGCUGGUCUGAGAGGACGACCAGCCACACUGGGACUGAGACACGGCCCAGACUCCUACGGGAGGCAGCAGUGGGGAAUUUUGGACAAUGGGCGCAAGCCUGAUCCAGCAAUGCCGCGUGCAGGAUGAAGGCCUUCGGGUUGUAAACUGCUUUUGUACGGAACGAAAAGCCCUCUUCUAAUACAGGAGGGUCAUGACGGUACCGUAAGAAUAAGCACCGGCUAACUACGUG
RNAcentral lists this ribosomal RNA (482 nucleotides) under uncultured bacterium. RNAcentral describes it as "partial 16S ribosomal RNA". It matches the Rfam family "Bacterial small subunit ribosomal RNA", at positions 30 to 507 of the family's 1533-position model. The record is from RNAcentral.